CCCCUAAAACUGUAGGAGGAGUAGUGUUUAGAAAAUGAGGGGGCGAACAGAAUGUGUUACCCUGAGAUAGCAUGAAGCUAAACCUUCCCACACUCCAAUAGAGAGGCUGAGGAAUUUUCUGGAUAAUUAGGGCAUGAGGAGAAACUGAAAUACUCAAUUUCAGAGCAAAACCAUGCCUGGUGAAAAAUUUCGCUAAUCACUAGUAAUGUUUCUUUUUGUCCCUAUAGAAAGAAUCAACAAUCAACAUGUGGCGUUUAAUCUGUGUGUGUUUCCCUGGUUUAUGCAGGGGAUGGCAUCGUAUUGAAUGCCAAGAAGUGGCCAUAAAAAUAAUAACGAACAGACAGAAGCAAACCACUGAAUCGGGAACAAGAUACUGAAGUUGAUGACAUCGACAUGCACCAUCUGCAGAUAACCAGCUGGUGGAGACUAAGAAACCACCGAACUGGCUAAAGGAAUGCUUCUGUGGCAGGAUACGAACAGAUCCCAGCAAUAUGGAACUAGGGUCGUCAUUGGGGGUGGGACGGGGGCACAACUUUAGGGUCCCUAGCUGUUAUAUGUCUGCUGGGCCCCAUUAGAAAUGUUGGUUCCAAUGACAGCCCUCCAUGGAACACCCAUGAAUAAAUCCAGGGGUGGAUUUUCAUUAAGGCUUGGGGAGGCUAAACCUAGUUUGGUCUUUGUCCAUGUUGAGUAUGAUAUUACUCAGUACUUAACCAUUACAGUCUCUGGGCCCAUAAGUUGGUAGCUCUUAUGUAAGCCCAUGUAUGGGACACAUUUCAGCCUGGUAAUGCUGGAGUGCAUUCUUAGACAUAAAUCCACCCGUGGGCCCAGUAAUAGAUGAAUUACAACUGUUGCCAAUGGUGCAUCAAAUGGGACUGAAACAGCUGUUUCUCCACUAGUGGAAAAUUAUUGGUGAAUAAACUGUUCAGGUGACAUUAGACUUCCCAAAAUAAAAAAUCACCCUCCGUCUAUGAACAAAUUCAUCCUUUUCUCUGAUGAUUCAAAUGUUUUCCUCUUGAUGAACAACAGUCUAUAAAGACUCAGAGACAAAGGAAAGAAAUACAGAAUUCAAAAGAGAACUUGAAGCUGUAUGUGAGUACAUCUGAUGCUUAAUCAGGUAUCGAAAUGUCAUCUUUUAAUAAA
Molecule: long non-coding RNA, 1140 nt
Organism: Xenopus tropicalis (tropical clawed frog)
Lineage: Eukaryota; Metazoa; Chordata; Amphibia; Anura; Pipidae
Exons: 3
Source: RefSeq, a predicted model, not a curated record